RNAcentral lists this ribosomal RNA (467 nucleotides) under uncultured bacterium. RNAcentral describes it as "partial 16S ribosomal RNA". It matches the Rfam family "Bacterial small subunit ribosomal RNA", at positions 28 to 507 of the family's 1533-position model. The record is from RNAcentral.
GAUGAACGCUGGCGGCGCGCCUAACACAUGCAAGUCGAACGAUUAAAGCACCUUCGGGUGUGUAUAAAGUGGCGAACGGCUGAGUAACACGUGGGCAACCUGCCCCUCUCAUUGGGAUAGCCACGGGAAACCGUGGAUAAUACCGAAUACUUCGGGACUUCCGCAUGGAAGACUCGAGAAAGCUCCGGCGGAGAGGGUUGGGCCCGCGGCCUGUUAGCUUGUUGGUGGGGUAAUGGCCUACCAAGGCAAUGGCGGGGAGCUGGGUUGAGAGGCUGACCGGCCCCAGUGGGACUGAGAUACGGCCGAGACUCAGACGGGAGGCAGCAGUGGGGAAGGGUGAAAAAGGGGCGGAAGUCUGAUGCAGCAACGACGAGUGAGGGAGGAAGGGUUUCGGGGUGUAAAACGCUGUCAGCGGGGAAGAAGCGAAAGUGACGGUAAGUGAAAAAAAAGAACCGGCUAACUACGUG